UACGUAGGGGGCAAGCGUUAUCCGGCUUUACUGGGUGUAAAGGGAGCGUAGGCGGCGAUGCGAGUCAGAAGUGAAAGCCCGGGGCUCAACUCCGGGACUGCUUUUGAAACUGUAUGGCUAGAUUGCAGGAGAGGCAAGUGGAAUUCCCAGUGUAGCGGUGAAAUGCGUAGAUAUUAGGAGGAACACCAGUGGCGAAGGCGGCUUGCUGGACGAUGACUGACGUUGAGGCUCGAAAGCGUGGGGAGCAAACAGG
RNAcentral lists this ribosomal RNA (253 nucleotides) under uncultured bacterium. RNAcentral describes it as "partial 16S ribosomal RNA". It matches the Rfam family "Bacterial small subunit ribosomal RNA", at positions 524 to 776 of the family's 1533-position model. The record is from RNAcentral.